Molecule: unclassified non-coding RNA, 1403 nt
Filed under: Hevea brasiliensis (rubber tree)
Lineage: Eukaryota; Viridiplantae; Streptophyta; Magnoliopsida; Malpighiales; Euphorbiaceae
Source: RNAcentral
GGCCAGUUCACCAGCCAUCUCAGAACAACAGCUUACUUAAAGCUCCACCUUCAGCAUAUGGUUCAUUCUUUUUCAAUAAUAUUUAUGAUUAUUGGUAUUUGUUUCUGAGUUUCGGCUGUAAAACACUUCACCUUUGUUAAUGGCUUAAUAUAAAGCCUCCUCCAGCUGGUCCAAGCUAAAACUUAAACCCUUUUCAUCAUCAUUCCUUGCCCCUAGUGCGACCGACCCUUCUCUCUCUCUCUCUCAAGAAAAAAGAUUUGAAAUUGUAACAAUACUGAUCCUGAAGAGGUAGAAAAAAAGGGUAAGUGUUAGAUGUCCGCCAGUCACCGCUAAGUCCCUUUAGCUCUCUCUCUUUCUAGAAGCCUUGUAGCGCAUUCUUCCUUACUCCAAGCUUGGAUGCAACCAUCUCAUUCUUUUUUCUCUCUUUCUCUCAACUCAAGUUCUGUUUCCCGGUUCAUUUUGGCUUUGAGAAUUUGUUGGGUUUUAGUUCGCUGUUGUGAAACAUGAGCAAACAAGAGUUAAUGAAGAUGCAGCAGACUUGUGUUCUGAAAGUGAAUAUACAGUGUCACUGUGAUGGGUGUAAGAAGAAAAUAAGGAAACUUCUGCAAAAAGUUGAUGGUAUGCUCCUUAUCUUUUGAUAAUUCCUUCUGCAAGAUUCUUUACUGUUGUGUAAAUUUGUUAAUUAUUUUGUGAGGAUUAAUUAAAUUUAAACUAGUAUCUGGUAAAUCUCUGGAGAACAUCUCUGAAAAAACAAAAUGAUUUGGGUUGUAGCCUCCCAAUUGGGUAGGAAUAACAUUAUUUCGAAUUUCUUUGGUUGUCUAUUAAAAAUUUUAUGGCUAACCAUACUUUUUCAAAAGAACAAUUGAUGAGCUCAGAAUGCUAGAUUCAACAGUCGCAGAUAUGAUACCGUGCUUCAUAAAUAUCUUUUUUUUUUUCUUUAAUUUCAAAUUUAAGUGAGAUUUUGAAUUUUUCCUCAUGGGUAGUAUUUGUUUUGGCCAGGGGUGUAUAAUACAACAAUAAAUGCAGAGCAAGGGAAGGUAACUGUGACAGGAAAUGUUGACGCAGCAAAACUCAUAAGGAAGCUUGAGAAGUCAGGGAAGCAUGCAGAGCUAUGGGGAGCUCCAAAGGGCUUCAACAACUACCAAAAUCUUGUCAACAAUCAAUUCAAGAACAUGCAAAUUGGGAAUGGCAAAGAUAACAAAUCUCAAAAGGGUGGAAAAGGAGGCCAACAAGGGCAACACCAAAUGCAACAAUUCAAAGGAUCUAAGGAUCUAAAGAUGCAACCUCAUAAAGACCAGAAAUCUGUCAAGUUCAACUUGCAGGAUGAUUAUAUUGAUGCAAGUGAUGAUGAUGAUUUUGAUGAUGAAUUUGAUGACGAAUUUGACGAGUUUGAUGAUGAUUUU